Molecule: ribosomal RNA, 490 nt
Filed under: uncultured bacterium
Lineage: Bacteria
Description: partial 16S ribosomal RNA
Rfam family: Bacterial small subunit ribosomal RNA
Source: RNAcentral
AUUGAACGCUGGCGGCAGGCCUAACACAUGCAAGUCGAACGGUAACAGGAAGAAGCUUGCUUCUUUGCUGACGAGUGGCGGACGGGUGAGUAAUGUCUGGGAAACUGCCUGAUGGAGGGGGAUAACUACUGGAAACGGUAGCUAAUACCGCAUAAUGUCGCAAGACCAAAGAGGGGGACCUUCGGGCCUCUUUCCAUCGGAUGUGCCCAGAUGGGAUUAGCUAGUAGGUGGGGUAACGGCUCACCUAGGCGACGAUCCCUAGCUGGUCUGAGAGGAUGACCCGCCACACUGGAACUGAGACACGGUCCAGACUCCUACGGGAGGCAGCAGUGGGGAAUAUUGCACAAAGGGCGCAAGCCUGAUGCAGCUAUGCCGCGUGUAUGAAGAAGGCCUUCGGGUUGUAAAGUACUUUCAGCGGGGAGGAAGGGAGUAAAGUUAAUACCUUUGCUCAUUGACGUUACCCGCAGAAGAAGCACCGGCUAACUCCGUG